Homo sapiens (human) is the source of this 377-nucleotide long non-coding RNA. RefSeq lists it as uncharacterized. The transcript has 3 exons. NCBI's taxonomy places the organism in Eukaryota, Metazoa, Chordata, Mammalia, Primates, Hominidae. The record is from RefSeq and is a predicted model, not a curated record.
AAAUGAUGUAAUUCACGCUACAAGGAGGCACGUCCGCUGACCUGGCUUGGCAGAGAGACAAAGAGACUUAGAUGAAUGUAGCCCCAGAUGCAGAGUUCAGAACUAUGAAGUAAGUGUGAAGUGCUCGAUGUGCUGAGAAAGAAAAAGGAAAGGUCUUCAGACUGAUGGAGUGUGACAGGAUCCAGAUGAGCCCUCUUCUUGAGUUGAAUUGCAUCCAUUUCAACAAGCUGUCAUCAAACAGUGGUGCCAGGGAGCUACUAGGAAAUGGGAUGAGGAGAGUCUGGGAUGUCUGUUGGUGCUUCCCAACGAGUGUUAUGGGCCCUCUGUUUUCAGGUGGACCUUCCUGCAGGAGCAGAAGAUUUCUUGCUAAAGGGAGU